This 1400-nucleotide ribosomal RNA is filed under the name Streptococcus thermophilus. RNAcentral describes it as "bacterial SSU rRNA". It matches the Rfam family "Bacterial small subunit ribosomal RNA". The record is from RNAcentral. Lineage: Bacteria; Bacillati; Bacillota; Bacilli; Lactobacillales; Streptococcaceae.
CGCUGAAGAAGUACCUGCUCCUCUUGGAAGAGUUGCGAACGGGUGAGUAACGCGUAGGUAACCUGCCUUGUAGCGGGGGAUAACUAUUGGAAACGAUAGCUAAUACCGCAUAACAAUGGAUGACACAUGUCAUUUAUUUGAAAGGGGCAAUUGUUCCACUACAAGAUGGACCUGCGUUGUAUUAGCUAGUAGGUGAGGUAAUGGCUCACCUAGGCGACGAUACAUAGCCGACCUGAGAGGGUGAUCGGCCACACUGGGACUGAGACACGGCCCAGACUCCUACGGGAGGCAGCAGUAGGGAAUCUUCGGCAAUGGGGGCAACCCUGACCGAGCAACGCCGCGUGAGUGAAGAAGGUUUUCGGAUCGUAAAGCUCUGUUGUAAGUCAAGAACGGGUGUGAGAGUGGAAAGUUCACACUGUGACGGUAGCUUACCAGAAAGGGACGGCUAACUACGUGCCAGCAGCCGCGGUAAUACGUAGGUCCCGAGCGUUGUCCGGAUUUAUUGGGCGUAAAGCGAGCGCAGGCGGUUUGAUAAGUCUGAAGUUAAAGGCUGUGGCUCAACCAUAGUUCGCUUUGGAAACUGUCAAACUUGAGUGCAGAAGGGGAGAGUGGAAUUCCAUGUGUAGCGGUGAAAUGCGUAGAUAUAUGGAGGAACACCGGUGGCGAAAGCGGCUCUCUGGUCUGUAACUGACGCUGAGGCUCGAAAGCGUGGGGAGCGAACAGGAUUAGAUACCCUGGUAGUCCACGCCGUAAACGAUGAGUGCUAGGUGUUGGAUCCUUUCCGGGAUUCAGUGCCGCAGCUAACGCAUUAAGCACUCCGCCUGGGGAGUACGACCGCAAGGUUGAAACUCAAAGGAAUUGACGGGGGCCCGCACAAGCGGUGGAGCAUGUGGUUUAAUUCGAAGCAACGCGAAGAACCUUACCAGGUCUUGACAUCCCGAUGCUAUUUCUAGAGAUAGAAAGUUACUUCGGUACAUCGGUGACAGGUGGUGCAUGGUUGUCGUCAGCUCGUGUCGUGAGAUGUUGGGUUAAGUCCCGCAACGAGCGCAACCCCUAUUGUUAGUUGCCAUCAUUCAGUUGGGCACUCUAGCGAGACUGCCGGUAAUAAACCGGAGGAAGGUGGGGAUGACGUCAAAUCAUCAUGCCCCUUAUGACCUGGGCUACACACGUGCUACAAUGGUUGGUACAACGAGUUGCGAGUCGGUGACGGCGAGCUAAUCUCUUAAAGCCAAUCUCAGUUCGGAUUGUAGGCUGCAACUCGCCUACAUGAAGUCGGAAUCGCUAGUAAUCGCGGAUCAGCACGCCGCGGUGAAUACGUUCCCGGGCCUUGUACACACCGCCCGUCACACCACGAGAGUUUGUAACACCCGAAGUCGGUGAGGUAACCUUUGGAGCCAGCC